UGGCCGGCGCGGCCCGCCCCUCCCCUGGGAUCGCGUGGGGCUGCAGAGUCCCGGGGUCGCUGUCCCGGGGUUGCACAGCACCAUUUCAGGGGCCGCCGGUCCGGUCCUCAGGCUCACUGCUUCCCGGGGUGGCCUCGGCGUUGCCCCGUACUCAGAGGGGAGCGCGCAACGCAGAACCCGCUUGCCUGGCCUGGCAGCUCUCCCCUGACCUCAGGGCUGGCCAGCAUCUAGUGACCCCGCCGCCCUGGGCCAGACGCACGCAUACAGUGGGUACUAUCCUUCGCUUGCCUUGUGGGGCAACCACAGCAGACACCCGCAGCCAGGUGAAGGACUGCGUCCUGGGUCAGAGCGCUCGCCUGGUGGGACAUGCGCGGGGCAGUGGGCAGAGCCCGCUGUUCCCUGGGCACUGGGGCAGGUUCAGAAGCCGGACUCUAAGAAGCAGGAGAUGUUCUCCGCAGACCACGGGGCCAAGACCUCACAGGGGAAGAAGGCCUGGAGCGUACUCUUCCUGGGUCCUGGUGGUUUGCUCCCCCAGGGUGACCAGGGAGAUUUAGGGCUUGAGCAGAAACCUUGAGGAGACAGGGGGAGAAGGGAGGUCCAGACCCAGGGCCUCCAAGUGCAAGGACAGAAGGCCGAGUUGAGAGGUGCCAGGAGCAGGCCUCCUUGCAGACCUGAGGGCUGGGGAGGGCCCUGCUCUCCUGUUCUGACCGCAGUCGGGUAUGGGCACCAGCAUUCUGCCCCAGGCUUUGUGAAUUUCUACUCCUCCUUUCCUGCCUGCACUCUGCUCCAUGGGUUUCCUUCAGAGCACUUGGGAUUGUUUACUCUUUCAGUUUGACUGGCUCCUUCAGGCAGAACCUGAGCACCCACAGGGCAGACAUUUCAGUCUGUUUUGUUUACAGCUGGACUCUACGUGGGUUGCUGGUGCUGGAGAGUUACCUUUCGCAUGAACAUCGGGCCAAGCUCACACGGACUGCCCCAUGAGUCAUGUUUUCCUCUACACCCUCCCAACGUGGACUUCCAACCCCAGUUAUAUCACAGGUUCACUUGCAGUGAGAUUUACCUCUCUCUCCUUGAACUACAAGACGUAACUAUUCAUGUCUUUCUCGUUGUUGGGUGUGAGCUAUUUUUUAGUACUACCAACUGUCUACUGAAUACCGUGUUCAGUUUUCCAGUGAAUUCUGCCAGGGAGAAACCUACUUUUCCAUUUUACAGAGAAGGACACUGGUGGCCAGAGGGAAUCAAUGGCCUGGUAAGGCUGCAGGGCUAACCCACUGGGCGGCAGGCCUUGCCUGCCCAGGGCCUGCAACUACGAGGCGCUGUUUUUCAUUCAUUGCCCACCCUGUGUGCUCAUACCCAGGGGCCUCCAUCUCUGUAGGCAGUCAGAAAAACUCUGGAACAAAUGAAUCUAUUCACAAGCCAUUAUGAGUUAUCCAUUAGUUUUAAUUUACAUUCAUCUGUCAAAACAGCCCAAUCAUUCUCUCAUGUGAUCAGAGCAAAGGGCAGACUGACAGGAGCCGUCAGGCAGGUUAAGAACUGGACCCUGAAGCCUGGCUUGGGGCCCACAUCUUGACUGUCCCUUUCUUGCUAUGUGAUCCUCAUCAGGUUACUGAAGCUCUUUCUGUCUCAAUUUCUCUGCCUAUAAAAUAGGGAAACUAAUGGGAUGUACUUUUGGGGUGUCUGAGGAUUCAUUGCCAUAGUAUUUGUAAGACAUUCAGAAAUUUCCUGGCAGGAAGGAAGGGCCUUGUAAGAUCUAGCUUUCCAGUUUUUCUAUGGAGAAAUGAAAGCACCAUGCCCAAAUUCAGUGGCUCCUCUUUGGGUUUUUAAUUCGUCUUCCUUUCUCUUCCUUUGAGCUACUGCCGUAGCAGAGCAAUGAGCCAUUUGGAUGAGGAUGGUCCUUGUCAACCAUGAGCAGGUUUCAGCCUGCAGCUGGCCCUGUUCCUCUGGGCCUGUGGGGGCACAGCAAACCAUGGCAGCCGGAGCCUGUGGCAGAGGAGGCUGCUCACCCCAAGCCAACCAGGAAGCAGGAAAAAGAGACGGGGGAGGCAGGACCCAAGGGCCCUCAAGGACACACCAAGGGGCUCACCUCCUCUCAGUAGGGCCCACCUCCUAAGAAGGGAAGCCAGGGCACGCCUCGCACACGGCUGGUGGGAGCACGGGGCGGCACAGCCACUUGGGAACAUAGCUUGGCUUUUCCUCACAAAGCUAAAGACGCUCCUCCCUUCGCUCCAGCCGUCUCUCCUUGGAAUUUAGCCGAGGCUGAAAACUUACAUUAUCACAAAGAAGCAUGCAUGGGUGUUUACAGCAGCUCCACACACAAUAGUCCAAACUGAGAGGCUGGCGGAGGGGGGGCACCCUGAGUUACCAGCAUGGCACACUCCUGUGACAUGCCCGGGCCCUGGUAGGCACCUGAGAGUCCUCAGAGACGGUGCCCCAUCUGAUCCACGGGAGGGAGCAGAGAGCAAGUCACACACUGCCAUCUUCCCAUGAUUCUAGUGUUAGAGCAAGCUGUGAGUCCAGCCCUUACCCAGCUGCUGGGAGGGACAGCGAAGGACUUACAGAUGGGCCUUUAAACCCCGCUGUCAUUCAGCUGCAUUCCAUUAUCUCUAAGUUGGCACUGUCCCCAGCAGUGGCUGCUGGCUGCAUGUUGCUCUUGAACAUUUGCAAUUGGUCCAAGUCGAGAUGCACGUAAAUAUAAAUGGAACAGAUUUUGAAGAUUCGGUAUGAAAACAAAUGGCAGAAUGUUGUUGUUUAUUUUACGAUAUUGCUACGUGUUAAAUGGUAGUAUACUGCAUUUCUAUUGAACUGGGCCCUAAAAGCAGAGAGACACUCAAACCAACCUGAACACUGGGGGCCAGGGCCAGGUGGUGGCAGAGGCUGCAGUGACCUGUUUGCAAGCCAAGGGCUUUCAGGAAGAGCUGGCGGCCAUCAGAAGCCACGAAACAAGGAAGGGAGUCCACCUACGGACAGAUGGGUCCAUCUCCUUCAGUAUUUUAGAGGUUUAUUGACCAGGCUUCUGGGUUUUAAUAAAACAGGAUUUCACAAACUCUUGAUUUAGAAUAGUAAGUAGAAAAUAGUAAAAAUAGAUUUCUACUAGAGAACUUCUGAGUCUGCAAAUAAGUUUUGAAAAGAGGGAGAGAUUGGUGGG
Molecule: non-coding RNA, 3145 nt
Organism: Ictidomys tridecemlineatus (thirteen-lined ground squirrel)
Lineage: Eukaryota; Metazoa; Chordata; Mammalia; Rodentia; Sciuridae
Source: RefSeq, a predicted model, not a curated record